Molecule: microRNA precursor, 209 nt
Filed under: Oryza rufipogon (brownbeard rice)
Lineage: Eukaryota; Viridiplantae; Streptophyta; Magnoliopsida; Poales; Poaceae
Description: MIR812 microRNA precursor family
Rfam family: MIR812 microRNA precursor family
Source: Rfam by way of RNAcentral
AAUAAGUGCAGUUUUGCACUAUUUACGUUCAACGUUUGACCGUCCGUCUUAUUUGAAAAAUUUGUGAAAAAAUUAAAAACAUUUAGUCACACAUAAAGUACUAUUCAUGUUUUAUCAUCUAAUAGCAAUAAAAAUACUAAUCAUAAAAAAUUUUCAAAUAAGACGGACGGUCAAACGUUGAACGUAAAUAGUGCAAAACUGCACUUAUU